This 209-nucleotide unclassified non-coding RNA is filed under the name fungal sp. Its description in RNAcentral is "partial internal transcribed spacer region". The stretch from base 1 to 46 matches the Rfam family "Eukaryotic small subunit ribosomal RNA", at positions 1786 to 1831 of the family's 1831-position model. Lineage: Eukaryota; Fungi. The record is from RNAcentral.
AAGUCGUAACAAGGUUUCCGUAGGUGAACCUGCGGAAGGAUCAUUACAAAUCCAAUUGAAAUUACCCGUUGCAAUGUUGGACGUGAGAGGAAAGGGAUGAUGUGUAUUCAUUCCUUUUCUCUCCUCCAGAUUCUAUAUGACGCUUGUUGUUCAGUUGUAUUAAAAUUUAAUAUCAAUCACAACUUAUAACAAUGGAUCUCUAGGCUCUU